This 328-nucleotide ribosomal RNA is filed under the name uncultured bacterium. RNAcentral describes it as "bacterial SSU rRNA". It matches the Rfam family "Bacterial small subunit ribosomal RNA", at positions 29 to 334 of the family's 1533-position model. The record is from RNAcentral.
UAUGAACGCUGGCGGCGUGCCUAACACAUGCAAGUCGAGCGAAGCACUUUGCUUAGAUUCUUCGGAUGAAGAGGAUUGUGACUGAGCGGGCAGGACGGUAGGAGUAACGCGUUGGGUAACCUGCCUCAUACAGGGGGAUAACAGUUAGAAAUGACUGCUAAUACCGCAUAAGACCACAGCACCGCAUGGUGCAGGGGUAAAAACUCCGGUGGUAUGAGAUGGACCCGCGUCUGAUUAGCUAGUUGGUAAGGUAACGGCUUACCAAGGCGACGAUCAGUAGCCGACCUGAGAGGGUGACCGGCCACAUUGGGACUGAGACACGGCCCAA